Molecule: non-coding RNA, 274 nt
Organism: Salvia hispanica
Lineage: Eukaryota; Viridiplantae; Streptophyta; Magnoliopsida; Lamiales; Lamiaceae
Source: RefSeq, a predicted model, not a curated record
AAUCUAUCAAAUCUCCGUUACAUAUGGCUCGGCUCCAACAAGUUAAAUGGUUCGAUACCAUCCACCUUUGUGAAUCAAUCAAAGCUGUUGCAGUUAGAACUCAACUCCAACAACUUAAGUGGAGAGAUUCCACCAUCCGUUUGCAACUUGAGAUUCCUAAUGGUCCUCUUUUUAUCAUACAAUAAUUUGGAAGGAUCAUUUCCAUAUUGUCUUGGAAACUUAAGCGCUUCACUAGUAAUUCUCCAUUUGAAUGCAAAUAAACUUAGUGGCCCCA